RNAcentral lists this transfer RNA (72 nucleotides) under Cricetulus griseus (Chinese hamster). It matches the Rfam family "tRNA". Rfam says of the family: Transfer RNA (tRNA) molecules are approximately 80 nucleotides in length. Their secondary structure includes four short double-helical elements and three loops (D, anti-codon, and T loops). Lineage: Eukaryota; Metazoa; Chordata; Mammalia; Rodentia; Cricetidae. The record is from Rfam by way of RNAcentral.
GGCCCCGUGGUGUAAUGAUUAGUGCUCUGAACUUUGAAUCCAGUGGUCCCAGUUAAAAUCUUGGUGGUGCCA